GGAUGUGAGGGUGAUCUGGCUAUGACAUCUGUCACCCCAGUGAUUGCCACUGUUGAUUCUGCUGAUCUAGCUGGCUAGGUGGUGUCCCCUUCCUCCCUCACCACUCCAUGUGCAUCCCUCCUGAAGCUGUGUGCUCAGUUGAAGAGGAGGACCAUCCCCAAUAGAGGAGGACCAGUCUUCGGCUAAGGGUAUACGAGUAGCUGCGCUCCCCUGCUAGAAUCUCCAAACAAGCUCUCAAGGUCCAGAGACAAGAUGUGAACUUCAUGUCUCAAUUGAUGAUCACGUGGUUGUGUGGUGGUACAG
Unclassified non-coding RNA from Gorilla gorilla gorilla (western lowland gorilla), 303 nucleotides. Its record names the gene 7SK. It matches the Rfam family "7SK RNA". Rfam says of the family: 7SK was discovered as an abundant small nuclear RNA in the mid-70s but a possible function has only recently been suggested. Two independent studies have found that 7SK RNA binds the CDK9/cyclin T complex (known as elongation factor P-TEFb). The record is from Ensembl. NCBI's taxonomy places the organism in Eukaryota, Metazoa, Chordata, Mammalia, Primates, Hominidae.